Molecule: ribosomal RNA, 253 nt
Filed under: uncultured bacterium
Lineage: Bacteria
Description: partial 16S ribosomal RNA
Rfam family: Bacterial small subunit ribosomal RNA
Source: RNAcentral
UACGUAGGGGGCUAGCGUUGUCCGGAAUCAUUGGGCGUAAAGCGCGCGUAGGCGGCCAGAUAAGUCCGGUGUGAAAGUCACAGGCUCAACCUGUGAAUGCCGCUGGAAACUGUCUGGCUAGAGUCCGGAAGGGGCGAGUGGAAUUCCUGGUGUAGCGGUGGAAUGCGUAGAUAUCAGGAGGAACACCUGUGGUGUAGACGGCUCUCUGGACCGCAACUGACGCUGAGACACGAAAGCGUGGGUAGCAAACAGG